This is a long non-coding RNA of Mustela erminea (ermine), 853 nucleotides long. RefSeq lists it as uncharacterized. The transcript has 4 exons. The record is from RefSeq and is a predicted model, not a curated record. NCBI's taxonomy places the organism in Eukaryota, Metazoa, Chordata, Mammalia, Carnivora, Mustelidae.
AGCAAGUAAAUGCCUCCCUCUAGACUGGGGGCUGUGCUGUGCUGGCAGGAACAAGGGGCGGGGCGCUGUUGGGUCGACAUCCAGCAGCACCUGCCCCCGGGAAGCAUUUCUCCCAGCCACACCUGCUCCAGAGAUGGAAUUCACUCUGCUUGGACUCUUGUCAUGGGUGCAUCCAGAACCACUUCCAGAUCUGGGGGAUUCGCCAGCGGAUUGGCCAGGCCAGGUCACAUGACCACCCUAAAACCCAGCAGCUCAUCCUGAGCUCCAUGGAAAAGGAGCGGAAAAUAUCUGUCAUUUCAGUUCAAAGGAGGAGCCACUUUGCAAAAGAAGAAAUGUACUCGCUAUCACAUCAGGAAGUAAAUCAAUGGAUAGUCAAGCAGACGCUAUGUGUUUCACUAUCACAGACAAAGCUGCAAUGAACAGCUGGUCCCUGGGCAUUUGCCCAAGACUCACUCAGAAUGGAGGUGACCUCGAGGGCGGAGUCCUGGGCUCAGCUGUCCAGGCGGCUCCCAUCCAGCGGGGCAGACCUCACAGCACCCGCAGUCACCAUCACCGUGCAGGACAGAGAACCCUAAUGUGCCUGCACUUGCGGGAAAUGCUUCUGUGAUGUGACCCGUGAUGCCUCUUCCGUGCACAGCAAUUGUCUAGAGUGCCUCCCCCGGCACCACUGAGCUUCGAGGGGACAGGAAGAAGCCGCUUUCUGCCCUUUCCUAAGGAGGGGCGAUCAGGACCUGCAGAAACCAUCAAGGUUUCCAUUGUUCUGCCUUCCACAAAAAAAUCGCUGCUUCUAAGACCCUCCCGUGAACAAAAUUUUGGAGCCACAGAUGCUCCUCAUGAUACAAAAUAAACAUUU